AGGCACUGCCUGCCCAGUGACAUAUGUUCAACGGCCGCGGUACCCUGACCGUGCAAAGGUAGCAUAAUCACUUGUUCUCUAAAUAGGGACUUGUAUGAAUGGCCACACGAGGGUUUAACUGUCUCUUACUUUCAAUCAGUGAAAUUGACCUAUCCGUGAAGAGGCGGAUAUGCUAAAAUAAGACGAGAAGACCCUAUGGAGCUUCAAUUCAAUAGUACAAACCAAUACCUUAAAAACCUACCAGGCAACAACCCACCGUCAAUGUACUAUAAAUUUUGGUUGGGGUGACCUCGGAGUAUAACAAAACCUCCGAAAAGCACAUACUAAGACCUUACUAGUCUAAGUAANNACUUACAACUAUUGACCCAAUANNNANCUUGAUCAACGGACUAAGUUACCCUAGGGAUAACAGCGCAAUCCUAUUUUAGAGUCCAUAUCGACAAUAGGGUUUACGACCUCGAUGUUGGAUCAAGACAUCCUAAUGGUGCAGAAGCUAUUAAGGGUUCGUUUGUUCAACGAUUAAAGUCUUAC
This 531-nucleotide ribosomal RNA is filed under the name Saguinus bicolor (Brazilian bare-faced tamarin). Its description in RNAcentral is "partial large subunit ribosomal RNA". It matches the Rfam family "Bacterial large subunit ribosomal RNA", at positions 1850 to 2599 of the family's 2925-position model. The record is from RNAcentral. Lineage: Eukaryota; Metazoa; Chordata; Mammalia; Primates; Cebidae.